UACAACCAUGAUCUACACACAACACUCUGUUCAAACAAGCCACCGUGUUGUCAAUGGUUGUAGACCCAACUCAGUGAGUUGCAACCAUUCCCAACCUUUGCCUCUUCUGUUUGACAACGCCUUCAUCAUCAAAUGUGACAAAUGUGUGGAAUUGUUUCCGGCUCUGGAUAUGUAACUUCAGUAACUGUGCCACAAACACCAUUAACCAACCCGUCACUGACGUCAAUAUUCUUUUAUAACAUGACUCAAGCACCUUGUCCUAAGGUCAAAUGUGCUGGCGAUUACGUCUUCUGUUUAACAGGCCAGUGAAUGCACCAACUUUCUCUCUGACAAUGGCUCUUAAUUCAACAAUUUUAAUGAAGCCCUGAGGUCCAUACCCAAACACUCAGCAGACAGCGGUUUACCUUAAACUGGAGGUCAUUGAUAAAAAUCGCCUACAGAGAUAAUACACAUUACCAAACAGGGCAUGAGUGCUGGUGUUACUCCCCACCUGAAGGCGGCCCUAUGGGGCGUAACACCGGCACUUUGACCUAUUAAAGUAACAACAACACCUAAGUUUAACAUGUGACUUACGAUAACUAAAAACAAAAAAUUAAAUAAUUAACCAAGACGCAACUAAAGAACAAAUUAACAAGACAACUACAACACAAAGAUCCAAAACCACAAAUGAGAGACAGCAGGGCAGUAGAUCCCCACUAAAUGCCUCUCCCAACUGCAGGCAGCUGUGGGCCUUUAAACUCUGAGGCUCAGGUGAGGCUGAUUUCCAAUCAUAGACUUCAUCAAAAAAUGAUGGCGCAGUCUAAACUCCAGUGUGGUUGUUUUUUAUAUACAUCGACUCCUCAAAAACAGCAAACGGCGGCAAAAAUAUUUACAGUGCAGGAAACAAAACAAAACAAAAAAAUAGGCAAAUAAAUAAUGUACUUACAAGUUUCCAGAAGGACUUAAACUUCUUUACUUGUAACCCAUGAUGCCAUGGGGCCAAGAGCUCCCCUCAGAGUGAGCAAAACGCUCUUUAAAUACCCCUUAGCCCCUCCCCUGGGCAAAUCCAUAAACCAAUUAUAGGGGUUUAAGACACAAUAAGCAAAAUUCAACACAAAAUCAUCAAUAAAUCAGACAUUUCAACAUGGACAAAAAACGCACUAAUGGCCUUCCAUACAGCCUCGAUCUUAAUCAUUGAAAACACAUUAAAUCAGACCAAAACACCAUAGGUGAACUAUACUGGUAUGGUCCGGCGGUCACAUGACCCCCAAAAUCGCGCAACCAUGCGCUAUUUACUGAGGGACCAGGUAGUGCUUCGGUUUGGCGUAGAAGAUGGCAGCAUGUAAGUGAGUGUGUGUCUCUCUGUGUGUAGUUGUCGAUUGUGCACUCUCAAACGCCGACAACGGGGAGAAAAGAGUCCAGGUAAAAAGUGUAACGGUUGGUUAAAGUGCAGGACCGCGGGGCCGGCAGGGAAACAGUUAAACAGUUUGACGGAGCUUGGCUUCCUGUGGAACAAGUGCGCUACGUGCGCGUUCCCGGCACCGUCACUCUCAGGCCGCGAGACAGAGACCCGCGCCAGUCGGAGAAUGACGCGGCGUGUAACUGCGCUCCGCCACAGUGUAGCUUGGGGAGAGGACGAAAGUGAAUGGUUUUUGGAAAUUUGGAACAAGAGAGCAUAAAUGCACAACUAUAUACUACCUACCGUCAUGAAAAAUGUCUUUGAAGAGGUUUUAGAGGAUGAAAGCGGCUGGUUAAAAUCAAACAUUUGUACAGAGCAGAGUUCAUCACACCUGAACUGGACCAGAAAGAGAACCUGGUCCUCUUUGAAAUGAACUCACAAUAUGAACGCACAAAAGAACCAGUUCCUUUGCUUUCAGUCCACUUUUUGGCCCACUUAAAGAAGACUGAGUUUGGUUCUCUUAAAAGGGACCAAGAGUGAAAACAACCCAAAAUUAUGUCUAGAUAUUGGUCAAAUGUAGGGCUGGGCGAUACGGGAAAUUUUUUUAUCACAAUGUAUUUUUUUCAUAUUAGUUGAUAUCUAUCUAACACAAUAUUAAAAAAGGAAAUUUAACAGUGCUUAUUGGUAGCAUGUCUUUUGCAAUACAGUAAGCUACUGCAUCUGGGAGGUGUGUCUCUUUGACGAUUUGUCAUAAGGCGUUGCGCUAGAGACAUGGUAGAAUGCCUGUUAGAAAGCCCAUGUUGUUUAGGUGUUUUCAAGUAAAUACUGUGUGUGAGAUGCCUCAGCUGCAAAAGUUUAGUUUUCUCCUCAUGCAGCAGAGGAUAGUUUGUAAAUUUCCUCGUACCUGUUUUUAUCCAAUAUGCACCUUCACAUUCCAGGUUUAUUGGUUGUAAAUCCCAGGAGUGAGUUUUAUGAUGUGUUACUGUCUAAGUCGGGUGCUAUAUUGUGUGACUGUAUUGUUGACCGUGAAUAUGGCUAAUGCUUUUUCAUGCUACUCGAUGUUCAUGUUAUGUAUGGUGUGAGCUGUACUGAUUGUUGCUUUGUAUUUUUAUCUGCCGAACUACAAUCAAAUAAAUCCACCACUAAACUGGACAUCUGUAUCCUGUCUUUUAACGGGGACACACCAUACACCUUGGCGCUAUAACCCAGCAAAGUCCUGUAGAACGCCCUUUUCUCCUUUUUUUUAUGCCGACUAUCGAAAAGGCAUAUCGACCAUGUUUUGUAUCGAUAUCAAGGAAAAUUUAUUUUUCGAUAUCGUUAUUAUUUUAUCGCCCAGCAGUACCACAACACCACACAACCCCAAAGCACACGCCUACCCAACAAAUGGAUGAUGAGAACAAUUCACACAAACACAUAUAGCUGCUGUCCUUGCUUGCUUUCAUUUUCAUUCACAUUGUUUUAUUCUUUUCCAUUGGUUACAGUCAUCCCUGAUGAGGAAAUAAUGGUUGUACCAUUAGACAACAUGGACCUGACACCAUCUACAUCAACAGAAGACAGCUCCUCCACUUCAUCGCAGGACAAUGCUGCUCAUGGCCACUUGCCUCGGUAAGCUGAUCAGUUUCACGGCACACAUUUGCAUCUACAUUGAACAUUACCAAAACAUAUUUCUACACCCCCCACCCUCACCACCCACAAACUUUAUCGCCCACCAACUUCUCCAUCCAGGUCCCACACCCUCCUACCAUGUAGUAACAUCUUACAGCACCGGCAUGGACUUCUGACAAAUUUUGAUUCAGCUGCUUCUACAAUUAAACAUACAACACAUUUAAUGAUUGCAGUCCCAAACUUUCAAAGACUUCAGUGUAGCCACAUUCUGCCUACACAGUCACAGUUGCAUUGUACUACACAUCUUCUCAGACACAGACACAAGCUUGCACUAUCAAAUCUUUUGAUAAAUUGCUUUCUUACAGUAAACUGUGACUGUAGCAUAUUGUUACAUUCAUCACCACAAACACUUGCAUCACUAACACAGUGCCAACCGCCAUUUGCACAUGGAUUAAUGCACAACCUCAUGACUGCCUGCAUGGGAAACCACAACACCCCAUCUCCACCCCUGUGUACCACCACCCUAAUGCACUGCCCCUUCUUGCACUGAUAUCCCUGGUGUGUUGUGCUCCAUGGCAGCUAUCUAAUUUUGUGUUGGCAGGAAGUUGUGCCUGCCUUAGAGUGUUGUGGGUGAUUUUAGGCCAACAUGCCGUCCAGCACUAUUCUUGCAAAUGUUGGUGUACAUUUUGUGCAUGAACACAAUAUUGACCGAUUGUAUGGCCUUCGUUUAAUUUGAAAUAGUCUGCAAGAGCCUCUUAGCCUACCUUUCAAAUGGGUUAUUUUCUCAUUCCCUCUGUUCCUCUUUCACUGAGUCCUUUUUUAAUUUCUUUAUCAUUUAACCUUCUCUUUACUUUGAGUUUAUUCUUAACAAUGUGCCAACAUUUUGGGUUUAUAUUUAUCUUCUGUUGAUGUGAAGCCCUUCUUUCGAAUGAAAAGCACUAUACCACCAAAGGAGCCUUGCAAUGGAUGCAUGGGUCUGAAACUUGUCUGUUGCUAGGCUAUAUGUCUCCAUGUCCAGAUUAAAUAAGUUAAAGGACAUUCAGUGUGUUUUACUGAGUGUUUUUAGCUUCAGCAAGAACCAACAAGAACAUAUGUUUUGAUCUUUUUUGGAUAAUGCAAAGUAGUCACGAGACAAGUGUGGCAAAAACAACUAUGCAGGACUUGAGUUCAGUUCUUCAGGGGACGUUAAAAGAAAAAAAGUAAUAAUAAAAUCUGUUUGUUAUUUCCUGUCCUGACAGUAGAGCCUGCACUGGAAGCCUCUUUACUGAGGAGCCCUGCAGGCAGACCACUCACAUCUUGACAUUAAGCAUUAUUCACCUUGCCCUCACAUCCUGAACUCCAUCUGAUUUAUUUAUGUUUGCAUUUUUCCCUUUCAACAUUUCAACACUAAGACCCAGGCUGUCUCAGCAGAGGAAGUGUACAAAAAAAAAAAAAAAAAGGUUGCCUGUUUUUUCCCUCCUUCAUCCAAAGGUAUUAGAUGAAGGAAUGAAUGAAUGAAGGAAAUGCUUAAUUCAGAAAAUCAGGCUAAUUCACGUGAGCCUACCAUAGUCUGGCAACCCUGUUGGGAAGCACAGGGGAGAGAUAAUGGCUUCUGUCUACAGUACAUUGUAGAACAUGAGAGUCUGUCAGUGCCUCAUGCAGUUUUUGUCUGGGUUGAAGGACAUAGCUGUAAUUUGGUUGCCAAAUUGAUCUAAAGGGAAAAUGAUGAGAGGCUGUUUUAAAUUUCUUUGGAGGAGUUUUGAUUUUCUUGACGGGAUAUUCGCUGUUGAAGAGUCAACUACAAGCAAGAUAUUAAUAGAAGAACCAAACGCAGGCAUUUUUUCUUUUUAAAUUUCAAUUUUACCAUGAGUAUUUUGUUUACAUAAGAGACUAAACAUAUCUUUCCAAACUACCUGAGUCAACUGAGCUCAUACUAGAAAUUGUCAGCUCUACUCUGGUCUACUGGUCCCUGUGCUCUUUGUACCUGAUACUUUUGUUAAAGCAUUCUGAAGUGAGGAAACUGAAAUUAUCACUGAGAAAAACUGAACAUCCUGAGCUCACCUAGAGCUGAUGUAAAAUUAAUAAAGGCAUUUCACACCAACUGUGCAAAGCAAAUGUGUUUGUUUUGUCUGUCACAUUUAAUGGUCUUUGUCCCUCGGGGGGAACUCCUGCUGCGCUAACCUGUUUCCUGAUUGAGAUGUAUCUUUGUUGGUUUUCAUAUUCAAGUUUAACUGCGCUCUCAAAUCAUUCCUGCCUAAUUUCAGUGUGCCAUUCUCUGUGUUUAUUCAGGGCUAACGCCUAGUCUUGGAUCGGAUGACAAAAUGAAGAGACAGGCUGACACUGGGCUGUCAGGGUGAUGCCAAGCCAUCUGCUCCUCAGGAGCUUCAGAGCGGGAGAGAGGUGUGCAGGAUCAGAGAAGAAAAGAGUAAGAAACCCAUCACUAACACCAAAAACUGAAUUUUGCCUCACCCACAAUCCCCAAGAAGUUGAAUUUAACAUAGCAAAACACAAAAAUAGCUUGAAAUAUAAAAAGGCAGCGUUAGAAAUUCUAAUGCAAAGCUGCUGGCUCUUGCAAAAUAAGCAAAAUCUUACUCAGAUUUGGUGUUACUCAUGGAACCCUGAAGAGAAUCCCAGAUGGCAGCACCUCAGCAGUCCUGAGUCAUCUGGUGUGCAGAUAAAGGUCACACCACAAGAACUGGAGAGAAAGCGGGCAGACUCCAAUUUUAUAAAUGUUCAUUUUUUAACUUCGUAGUCCUCAUUCGCUUCAAGUUCAAUGUGUUAAAAAGGAUGAUACAAAAAGGUCGUGAUAGCCAGCAUUGCAGCCAGUGUAGUAACAUCCUUUUUUUCUUGAAAAGAGACAUUCUAAGAGGUAAUCUCUGGUUAAAUCAGAUCAUCAAAUUGUUGGAAAAUAAAAACAGGAAAACAGCAAAAAUAGUUCAACACAAGAAGCCUAUUUAGCCAACCCCAUUUUCUUCUUUAGUAAUACUGAAUACAGGGAAACUACUAAUAAUCAAAGCUAAACUCAAAAUACCAAAGAAAAAAAACUUUCCUUAAACUGUCACAGUACAGGAAUUUAUGCAGCGAGUCUAAAAGCAACCUGUGUAACGCAAUGUUGUGAUGACACAGCUCGGUGAAAAUCACCAUAUUACAAUCUGAACAAACAUUUUUUUGUGAAAAUCUAAUAUGGGUUUUGUCAAUAAUAGAAAAAAAGAAACACUCUCCACUCAUAUAUAUUUUUAUAAUCUAGGGCACUGCUGGAAAUAAAGACAUCAUUUUUAGUAAUAUGAUGUUUUAAAUUGGGUUUAGUGCAAGUAUGAUUUCUUAGACAUGAGAAUAUAUGUCAGGCUUUUGUGAAACACGCUUUUAGUGAAAAUGAGAACUACACUAUAUAACAAAGCUUGCACCUCUUGUCACCCUCUGUGUUUGCAAAGGGAAUAAAAAAACAUACAAGCCUUGUGUAAGAACAGCAGAGAGGUCUAUUUUAGUUUCCUAUUCCUUAAUGUGUAGACAGACUUGCAUUUUCCUUUCCUUAAUGUCCUGAAAGCCAAACACUAAGCAGGAUAUCAAUUACCUUCAGUGCACCUCUGCAUCUCUCCUCCCUCUCACCUCUCCGCCUCUGAGGAGGAACAAACGGGAACUUGCAGGCAUCUGAAGUCCUGGUUCACCGAUAGAGUGGAUGGCAAGCAGUAACGGGUACAGAACAAACGCAGCACACAAGAACAAUAGCAACAGGGAGUGCAGGGAGAUUGUGAAGACUGGCUUAAACAGAGGAUUUUUUUCCCCCCAUUGUUAAAUAUAAUCAUCCUCUGUUCUACCUGCACAGUCAAGGAAAAUUCCCCCGAGAGAUCAUUUACAUGGAACCUUGCAAAUUUAGCAACUUCUCGAAUACGCAGUGUUAUUGAGGUUAAUAUAUCCACCUGAGCAUAACAGGGACUCGUUUUAUGAACAUAUGAUUACAUUUGAAAGUUUUUAGAUAGAAUCUACAUAGACAGUGGGGGUUUAUAAAUCAGUUAAUAGCUGCAUUUUACCCAAUCAGCGGUCAAUCUAAAAUCAGUAUGAGCAAAAUCCAUUAAAAAAUGUAGUUUUUGAAAGGUUAAAUAAAAGAAAAACGGAAAGAAACAAAAAAAAGUGUAGCUAGGUAAGAAAAUGACCACAUUUACAAACAUAAGUUAUAUAUGAGAAGAUGCAAACAUGAAAUCCUACAGUAAAACACAGGUAAUUGAUGAUAUCUUAAACUGUGAGAAAAUAAUUGCAGCAAAUGAGGCUUUAGAGAAACAAUUUCCCCUGAAGCACUUCAAACAUCAUUACAUUCAAACAUGUCCCACUUACAGCAGUUUUAAUUAAAACAUGCAGAAAAAAAAUAAACUGUUUUGACAGCAAGAUUAAGAAUGCCCUCAAUGGAACGUGUUGCUGCUUAUUGUUCUUGACAAGAGAAAUAAUAUCUCCUCAUUUUAUAUUACAAAGAAGAAAUUGAAAAAAAAAAGAAAGAUAACACACUCUAAUGAAAUGUAACUUUAUUCUUUUUUUCCUGAUGGGUAUGUCACAAAACAUAACCUCUAAAUCUUUCCAUCGCUCUAAUCUUUGCAAAUGACUAACAGAUUGUAUUAACAAAGAGUCUAGAUGAAUCUCAGGGGUUUCAUUUACCUCAGAUGGCCGAUGCUGUAUCUGCGAUCAACAUCACAUCUGAAUUGACAUGAGAUGCAAGUUAGAAAGUUAGUUCUCGAUGUUGUUAGCACUGUUAACUAAUACUUGGUGACAACAAUAAACUCACUACUUUUUACAAGCACAGUCGAGAGAGGAAUGUUGCUGACCGCUUGCUUCUCUAGUUAUACCAACUUUAGUAAGGACCACAUGAUAGCAAUGCACAACGAUCUCAGGAGCCACCUGCUCAACCAAAAAGCCACAAAUAAUUCUCAGAACAACAUCUAACUUCAUCAACAGUACAUAUAGGGUCCCAGACAUAGCACUAGCCACCAAACAUCUUUUUAACUUUGCCUACUUUCUUUAGCAAAGAGACUAAACACAACUCACCCACUCUCUUCCAGCAGCUGCUUGUUUGUACGGAGACCUCCGAUGAGUCCAUUAAUUAUACAUUAAUACUCAUUUGGGAACUUUGCUUGUUUAUUGACAUAGUAGGUGAACAUGUGUGCUGAUAAUACAGACUGAAGUGGUGCUAAUCAUAUUUAUGUAAAAUGAAAAGAUGCAAAAUCCAAAAACGUUCUUUUUCUCAUUCGCUCUCCCUUCAGAAAACUAUGACACCUUUCCAUUUUGGUAUUAACCCAAAUAAAAGCUGCUUAGUCAUGUGGGGAUCAAAGGGCUCCUGGUUUAGCAAUUUUUUUUUUUUUUGGGCUGAAAGGUCAGAUAGAUGACCAUCUUGGCCCACACUGAGAAAAAAGUUUUAAUGGCACCCAUUAAGCAGUGAUAAUUGCUCUGCGGCUCCUUUCACUUCUUUUUCUCUAAUGAUUCCCGGCUGCCACUGCUCCCCCUCCUUUUUAACACUUCUCUCCAGGUAAAGCCAUCACAAAGCCCAAAAUACACCUUUUCACAACAAGACGUUUAAACAAAAAUUAGACGGUGCACUAAAAUGCAAGUGAAACAGAAUGCAUGGUUCAAUAUUUGCUGGUAUUUGUUUAUAUAGCAAAAAGUGAUCAAAGAAACAUACCCAAUUUUUUUCUGUUUCCUGUUGAAAUGCUUGAUGGUGAUCAAUCAAACCUCUCUGGAUCCAUGCAGGUCUGAUCCUGAUGCUCAGAAAAUGAGACAGGGAAAGAAAACACAGCAUUAGCAACACUAGAUGCCGUUAGCCGAGCCUUUUAAGUAAACCAGCUCCCUGAAAACCUUGAGAGUCUUUUUUUCCCUCUGUUGCUGGAAUACCAUUCAAUUCUUAUGUCAGGUCUGAGUUUUUUUUUUUUUCCUUUAGAUUCUCCAGCAAAAAUCUCUCAAAUAAAUUAUUUCAAUGAUUUAAUUGAAAUUCCUUAUAGCAAUGUGUUAAAAGGGCAGUGUGUUAACAUUUUUACUAAGAUUUAACAAAUCACUCCAGUGUGAUGGACAAAGAUUUGCCACAACACUGCAUACUGUGCACUUUAAGUUUCACUUAAGGCCCCUCUUAAUUCAUGUAAUUUUUGUAGUUAUAUUGGUACUAAUAAUCAAUUAUCAACAUGGCUUUUGCUGCCACCUGCUUGCUGGAAGUGUGUGAUUAGCUAAAGUAGUGCCUAUAUCUAUUAAAGAGAGGACAGGUAUAUAUGAAGGAGCGGCUUAAAAGGACAGUCAUCAGGGGCCCGAGGGCCUAAAAGGUUGGCUAAAGUUAUGAUAUACGCAGGUGUGGCUCAGUGGUACAGUCAGCCGUCUCUAAAUUGGAGGGUCGUGGGUUUGAUUCCAGGUCCUGAUGUCCCCAUUCCAAAUUGCUUUUGGCAGGACACUUGACCCCACCUGCCCCAGCUGGCUGCGCCCAGUGAAUGGGAUUAGUCGGAAACAGAUGGGCUCCAUACAUAGCAGCAUUUACCACCAGUGUGUGAAUGGGUGAAUAUGAUAUAUAAUAUGAAAGCACUUUUAAGUGUAAAUGUCUAAAGAAAGCACUAAGUGAAAGUAUUUCAUCAAAACAAUUUUAGUCUGUUUUCUAUCAUUGCUUUUUUUUUUGUUUGUUUGUUUUUAGCUAUUUAACAUUUACUAUAGCUUGAAAAAAGAGGAAAGAAAUUAAUAAAUAAAACAUCCAAUUUUGAAAACAUUUUUGAAACCAAGACCUGGCUAGUCUGCUUUUGAGUUCAGCCAUAAAUCAUGACAAUAGUACAUUGAGUGAAACUAUCAGGUGGAUUUCUCCACUUUACACAAUUUGCUGUGAUUUUUACCCCCCUUCAAUUUGAAUUUCAUGUCACUACUCAUUAAUUUGUUUGGCUCUUGAUACAAUCAAAGAUAUUCAGGCUGCACAAUGUUAAAAAAAAAAAAACUAACAUUGCGAUUUUUUUCAACCCUGUGAUAUAUAUUGAGAUAUUAAAAAAUACAGAAAUUUUUACCAUAUGACCUGAAUAUCACUUUAUGUUAUGCUUAACUGCUGAAAUCUUGUGGACAAUUAACCUGCACUGAUCUUAUUUCUUUUUGUGAAUGUUAGUAGAAUGGCUUCUGUCUGUCUCAGAGAUAUUUUUAGGGAUGUUAUUGUGGCAACAGAUGAACACAGAACACGUGUUUGGUCGAGAUCAUCCUUCCUGUAACCGGAAUAAUUCCAGAUAACUGACCUUGCUUUUCUUUUUGGCAACAAGUCUUGAUUUUCAGUGGUUUUCUCUUGUUCAUUGCUCAUUUUGCAAUCGUUGUUGUUGUCACCAGUGUUGUGCUGAGAAAUGCAUGCCUGCUGAGAAUUGCAUGCACCUCGCACAAAGCACACUACUUAGAGGAGAGUGGUCCAUGGAAGUGUACAAUUUAAAACCCAUACAAUUCUUAUUUAUGAGGCAAAACAGUGAUGAGUAAUGUUCCCAAAGUAACUCUCAGCGGGCAUGCGUUUCUAGGCACAACACCGGCAGCAACUCACUCCAUGUGCAGGGGCGUGGUUUCCUCCUCUGAUUUUGAUUGACAACAUGCAGGGUAGUCUGUUUGACAACUAAGUAAAGAACGAAUGUGAUUGGUUGAUGGCUGCACAGCAUAUGCAGGGUCUCAUGGAGUGUAUCUCAGUCAGCUACCCUUGAAAUUAGAUGAGUUCAUUCACUUCCUACAUUGCAGGCUCUGCGAUGUGGCUAUCACGCACACAUACAUUGCGAUGACGAUGCUGAAACAAUAUACCGUGCAGCCCUACAUAGAUAUUCCAGUGUCCCAACACUUUGCUCAUCAGCAUGAACAUGUGGAUACCAGGUGCAAACUUGAAACCCUAAUGGUGCAGCUCUUUAGCUAUCAGCUAUAAUGACUGUUUGCAGUGCUUCACUGAUCUAAAAUCAACAUACAGUCUGUGGCUGCGCAGAGCUGUUAGUCCUACUUGUUACUUUUGGUUCAGAAGCAGGUUUCAUCUUUUGGUUCAUACUGCCAAGCAAAAAGCGACUUACGUUGAGUCUGUGGUUCAUGUCCAGCACAAGAGCAUUUUACAAAGUCCUUAAUUUAAAAAGUCAAGUUAUAAUUUAAACAUCUGUGAGGAGCUUUUAGUUAAAUAGGACAGUCAAAUGAUUUAUUGUGAAUAUUUUGUGGAAAAUGCAAAAACAGUGAAUUCUCUUCAGCUUCUCGGCUGACAUCUACCCCUUUCCACAUCAAUUUCAGGUAUUAAGAACCACCAUGUAGAAAACUUUCAUCUUUUCACUGGUGGUCUUGUUUGCAUUUUUAUAUUCCAAAAAGACGUCAAUUUAAAUUACAGUGUAUUUCAUAAACAUCACAAAAUCUCCUCGCAGGAGCUUUAAGCUGACACCACAGUUGGCUUGAGCAACAUGUUAAUCUGUAAACCUCUACUUUAAUGAUGGGCUUUUAAGUCUGUUGGACAGGUCGGAAAUCGUUUCAGUUAUUUCAGUUUUAUGUCAUUGCCUUUUAUUCUAUCGUGUUUUGCUGUUAGACUUUUGCUUAUAAGAGGUUAACUAGGAUAAACAACUAAAACAAAAUGUAAUAUGCUAAACGUUUAAACUAGCAUACAAAAGAAAAAGUUGGUCAAAUAAAGGAAAGUCAAAGUUAACAGUAGGUUACUAUCGUGAAGUGGAUUGCUACUAAAGGUGUGACACACAAUCCUCUUUUCUUCCUCACUCGCUUAAUCUAUCAUCUCACCCUGGAGAGAUUAAAACAGUGGAGAGAGACAGAAAACAAACCGAGGGCAAAAGUUUGUCCUUUGAGGUAAAAUGAUUUCACUUGCUGCCAAUCCCCCAAUUUCAUGGAGCUGUGUAAUAAAUUUUACAUUUAGGAUCCUUCUGAAAGCAUUUUCUGUUUAUUUACAGGCAACGAAGUGUGCUACAAAAGAGGCAAAAUAAUCUUGUCAUUUUUGUGCUCAGUUCUCAACAUUUUCAACAAACUGUCAACAAACUCUGCUACUUUCUCAAGAAAACAUUGUUUGUGCGGGGUAUCAUAGAAAAACAUGGAUCUAGGCAGUUUGUGCAUUGUGUACUCUUCCCUCUUUCUCUCACUGUGUCUCCCACAACCCAAAUGCAUCCAGAUUCAACUUUGCUUUUAAGUCUUGUGGCUUGACACAAAGGGGAUCCUUCCUUCCCCACACAUCAUCUGAAAAGGGAGGAAAUCAAAAAGACACAAAGAGCCGUCUCGCUAUUCAGUGGGGAGAAAACUCAUUCUGUCACUGCUGCCAUUCUGUGUGAGAUUACAGUGGGGACCCACGACCCAUGUUGCUUUUGCAUCCCUCUUGAAUCCUGUCAUUGAUGGUUUGUGUGUCUGUGUAUAAUGAGUGCUCUUCUGGAGGAGGUGUCAGGACGUUGCGUGUUUGUUGUACCUGUUGUUUCUAUGUGUUGCUGUUAACACUGUUUACGCAUGUGCUGCAUAGAUGUGUUUGGUGUAAUGGAAGCUUUUCUGUUAAGGGGUUAAAAUGUUUGCCGCUGACCUAUCUUUGCUAGUGUUUGGAAAAAUACACACAUUGUUAGCAGCUGCUGGCUUCACAUUUGCAUUUAUCUUAAUAAUGUUCCUCAUUUUGUGUAUGAAAUCUGUAAUGAA
RNAcentral lists this long non-coding RNA (12571 nucleotides) under Xyrichtys novacula (pearly razorfish). The record is from RNAcentral. Lineage: Eukaryota; Metazoa; Chordata; Actinopteri; Labriformes; Labridae.